RNAcentral lists this transfer RNA (72 nucleotides) under Candidatus Aenigmatarchaeota archaeon. RNAcentral describes it as "tRNA-Tyr". It matches the Rfam family "tRNA". Rfam says of the family: Transfer RNA (tRNA) molecules are approximately 80 nucleotides in length. Their secondary structure includes four short double-helical elements and three loops (D, anti-codon, and T loops). Lineage: Archaea; Nanobdellati; Candidatus Aenigmatarchaeota. The record is from RNAcentral.
CCCGCCUUAGCUCAGCGGUAGAGCAACCGGCUGUAGACCGGUUGGUCGGGAGUUCAAAUCUCCCAGGCGGGA